RNAcentral lists this ribosomal RNA (384 nucleotides) under uncultured bacterium. RNAcentral describes it as "bacterial SSU rRNA". It matches the Rfam family "Bacterial small subunit ribosomal RNA", at positions 30 to 416 of the family's 1533-position model. The record is from RNAcentral.
AUUGAACGCUGGCGGAAUGCUUUACACAUGCAAGUCGAACGGCAGCACGGGGCAACCUGGUGGCGAGUGGCGAACGGGUGAGUAAUACAUCGGAACGUGCCCAAUCGUGGGGGAUAACGUAGCGAAAGUUACGCUAAUACCGCAUACGAUCUACGGAUGAAAGCGGGGGAUCGCAAGACCUCGCGCGAAUGGAGCGGCCGAUGUCAGAUUAGGUAGUUGGUGGGGUAAAGGCUCACCAAGCCAACGAUCUGUAGCUGGUCUGAGAGGACGACCAGCCACACUGGAACUGAGACACGGUCCAGACUCCUACGGGAGGCAGCAGUGGGGAAUUUUGGACAAUGGGCGCAAGCCUGAUCCAGCCAUUCCGCGUGCAGGAUGAAGGCC